UAGCUAGUUGGUGAGGUAAGGGCUUACCAAGGCGACGAUCUGUAGCGGGUCUGAGAGGAUGAUCCGCCACACUGGAACUGAGACACGGUCCAGACUCCUACGGGAGGCAGCAGUGGGGAAUUUUGGACAAUGGGGGCAACCCUGAUCCAGCCAUGCCGCGUGAGUGAAGAAGGCCUUCGGGUUGUAAAGCUCUUUCGGCCGGGAAGAAAUCGCAUGGGCCAAUACCCUGUGUGGAUGACGGUACCGGAAUAAGAAGCACCGGCUAACUACGUGCCAGCAGCCGCGGUAAUACGUAGGGUGCGAGCGUUAAUCGGAAUUACUGGGCGUAAAGCGUGCGCAGGCGGUUUUGUAAGACAGGCGUGAAAUCCCCGGGCUUAACCUGGGAACUGCGUUUGUGACUGCAAGGCUAGAGUACGGCAGAGGGGGGUGGAAUUCCACGUGUAGCAGUGAAAUGCGUAGAGAUGUGGAGGAACACCAAUGGCGAAGGCAGCCCCCUGGGUCGAUACUGACGCUCAUGCACGAAAGCGUGGGUAGCAAACAGGAUUAGAUACCCUGGUAGUCCACGCCCUAAACUAUGUCAACUAGGUGUUGGGUGGGUAAAACCAUUUAGUACCGUAGCUAACGCGUGAAGUUGACCGCCUGGGGAGUACGGCCGCAAGGUUAAAACUCAAAGGAAUUGACGGGGACCCGCACAAGCGGUGGAUGAUGUGGAUUAAUUCGAUGCAACGCGAAAAACCUUACCUACCCUUGACAUGCCAGGAACUUGCCAGAGAUGGCUUGGUGCCCGAAAGGGAGCCUGGACACAGGUGCUGCAUGGCUGUCGUCAGCUCGUGUCGUGAGAUGUUGGGUUAAGUCCCGCAACGAGCGCAACCCUUGUCGUUAAUUGCCAUCAUUUAGUUGGGCACUUUAACGAGACUGCCGGUGACAAACCGGAGGAAGGUGGGGAUGACGUCAAGUCCUCAUGGCCCUUAUGGGUAGGGCUUCACACGUCAUACAAUGGUCGGUACAAAGGGUUGCCAAGCCGCGAGGCGGAGCCAAUCCCAGAAAGCCGAUCGUAGUCCGGAUUGCAGGCUGCAACUCGCCUGCAUGAAGUCGGAAUCGCUAGUAAUCGUGGAUCAGCAUGUCACGGCGAAUACGUUCCCGGGUCUUGUACACACCGCCCGUCACACCAUGGGAGCGGGUUCCGCCAGAAGUAGGUAGCCUAACCGCAAGGGGGGCGCUUACCACGGCGGGGUUCGUGACUGGGGUGAAGUCGUAACAAGGUAGCCGUAGGGGAACCUGCGGCUG
RNAcentral lists this ribosomal RNA (1287 nucleotides) under metagenome. RNAcentral's name for it is "bacterial SSU rRNA". It matches the Rfam family "Bacterial small subunit ribosomal RNA", at positions 242 to 1520 of the family's 1533-position model. The record is from RNAcentral.